GGCAAUUGGCAUGCAUCUUGGCCUUGGCCACCUUGCCUUGCGUGAUCGUUGUUUGUUUUUAUUUGUGCUUUUUAAGAAUUUUUUUUAAUUCGGAUACUUUUAUAAUAACUUUAAUAGUAUUAUUAACAUAGUGCAUAAAAUCAGUUGGAGUAGCAGAAGCAAUGUAGAUAAAAAAUCUGCAGGAAUAACGUUUCAAAGCUUUCCAGAAGAUCCUGCGAAGAAGGCAUGAAGUAUUGAUCAGAUUUGUUAAUAGAGCAGUAUGUUCAAAACAUUUUUUAGAAAAAGAUGUUGACAGAACUUCACUUUCAACUGUUCGUUUGAGAGACUGUGCUGUUCCAAUAGCUUAUAUCACACAGAAUCAGCUGAGAGAAGUGGUCUACAAAAAACCAGGAAGGAAAUGGAAUAUGUGGCUAUGAAAGGCAAAAGAAAGGUUUACAAAGCAAAUGUGACACAUUUUUUUAUAGGAAUAUCAGUAAAUUACAUUAAAAAAAUGUAUGAAAAGAUUUUUUGCAAUAAAAAUGUUUAUAUUUAUCAAGGAUGUAUUAUUUGGUAUGGCCACAUAUCGUCAGUGAUGUGA
RNAcentral lists this long non-coding RNA (577 nucleotides) under Diabrotica virgifera virgifera (western corn rootworm). RNAcentral's name for it is "uncharacterized LOC126885956". The record is from RNAcentral. Lineage: Eukaryota; Metazoa; Arthropoda; Insecta; Coleoptera; Chrysomelidae.